ACCGAGGUUUCAGAACGGUCGGCUCGCAUCGCUAAUCGAGCUGCGCCACGCUCGCUUUAACGUUUUCACGUACGAUCUCUGACGUGUCCGGUGAUUACAUAAAACGGUUCUGCCCUUGUCCCCUCUGGAAUGAUCGAUUGGUCUCGCGUUUUCUGGCCGCGGAUUACCGCGACCGCACGCCUCUAAACGGAUUCUUUGGCGGCCAGCGUGGAAGGUUAUCUGGCCGAGUGUCUUUAUGUACACGUACACUAUCGUUCGUGAGACUUGCUGGCCGACGCGAGUAUAAAACUCGCUAAAACGUAGACUAAAACUGUCGCAAGGACGUCGAACGGUUCGUUCGGGUUCGCUACGAGGCGUUUCUCGUGCGUGGCUGGCCUUCAGUUUGACUUCUGCCCGAAAAGAUCGAAGCAUCGUCCGCGGUAUCGCGUCUAUACAUAAUGCUGACAUAAUAUUCCGGCUGGCCACGGUAAAAAAUAAAAUUCCAUGGCCUCGGUGGCCUUCGCGAGUACAAAGAAUCCUGCUGGAACGGCUGGCCGUGCGGAUUUAGGAACAGACGUAUCAGUGGCCGUAGAUAAUCAGACACAGAUAUCGAGAAGAGAUUAGUAUCUUCGACAGGACUAAGGUGAUACGUACUUCAUUUUGAUUUGUAUAUUAUACUCGGAAGGAUAAAGAUUGGUUAUUUUCUACUCGCAUCGUUGGACUAUGGAUGAUUGGAUGCCAACUGGAUUACGCUAAAUGAAGAAAUUAAUUAAUUAUAAUUUGCAUGAAUUAUUUUACGUCGUAUAAAUCGAAUAAAACUUCCUCGUGGAAUUCCAUUUGUCUUGUUACUAAACCUUUUAUCGUUACUAAUCGAUAAACAAAUUUAACUUGUAAUUCGUAACUCGUACAGUUUCUCGAGUGACAUUAAUCCAAUUAUACGCAUAAGGAAACUUAGUGAACGGUUAAAAGAACGAAGAAAAAUUAACCUUUAGAUUUCACUUAUUGUUUGUUACAUCUAUAUACUUAGAGAAACUAUUACUGCCAUGUUACGUUUUUCUUGCGACCAUGCAACGAUUAUAAGUAACAUGUUCGCUUAUUACACGAAAUAACAGAGAUAUUCGAGCUAGCAGUUGCACAAUUCCACUUUUGUCCUUCAAUUUUCUUCUUUUCUCUCUGUUCCUUUCGUUUCCUCUAGUUCAUUCAGAUGUGUAUGUACCUACUCGCGAGGGAAGCACACGCGUGUAGACGAUGGCGUUGUUCGAGGUUAUGAUCGUACGACCGGCCGGAUCCGUACUUGAACUCCGGCGUUUAUCGCGAUAACGCGGCAACGUGUGCUUAUCAGAGAUCUGGAUAUAACGUUCGGUGUGUUUAAAUGGCGCAGUAAACAGAGGAUCGGUAGAAACACACCGCUCUUCGUAUAUAUAGUACUUAUCGCUACUUCUUAUACCGCCGAAGGUUUUUCGAUCCGAAUACAUACCUGGACGCGUGAAAUUGAUUCGUUGGAUAAAAUCAAUAUUUCAACUUGAAACUACGUAAUAAU
Bombus pyrosoma is the source of this 1519-nucleotide long non-coding RNA. RefSeq lists it as uncharacterized. The transcript is spliced from 3 exons. The record is from RefSeq and is a predicted model, not a curated record. NCBI's taxonomy places the organism in Eukaryota, Metazoa, Arthropoda, Insecta, Hymenoptera, Apidae.